This 510-nucleotide ribosomal RNA is filed under the name uncultured bacterium. RNAcentral describes it as "bacterial SSU rRNA". It matches the Rfam family "Bacterial small subunit ribosomal RNA", at positions 774 to 1271 of the family's 1533-position model. The record is from RNAcentral.
AGUGAAUAGAUACCCUGGUAGUCCACGCUGUAAACGAUGCAGACUAGAUUCAAGGGGUUUUCACGCCUUUUGGGUCGAAAUAGAAAAAUCGUUAAGUCUGCCGCCUGGGGAGUACGGCCGCAAGGCUAAAACUCAAACGAAUUGACGGGGGCUCACACAAGCGGUGGAGCAUGUGGCUCAAUUCGAAGCUACGCGAAGAACCUUACCUAGGUUUGACAUGCAUGGAUUAAGCCGAUGAAAGUCGGCCUACACUUAGCAAUAAGCGGAACAUGCACAGGUGUUGCACGGCUGUCGUCAGCUCGUGCCGUGAGGUGUCCGGUUCAGUCCUCCAACGAGCGCAACCCCUAUGGUUAGUUGCUACCAGGUCACGCUGAGCACUCUAGCCAGACUGCCGGUGUAAGCCGGAGGAAGGUGGGGAUGACGUCAAGUCAUCGUGGCCUUUAUGCCUAGGGAUGCACACGUGCUACAAUGGCGAUUAUAAAGCGAUGCAAAGCCGCGAGGCGGAGCAAA